UCUCUAGACUCUUUAAGCACAUCUCGCACAGGUAGUCAUCAUAACAUCUUUGAGCCCUUGACUGCCUUUCCGAGACCCCCACCCCUACCCGAGGCCCGAGCACACAGGGCACACCCCGACCCCAUGUUUGAAAUGCUGCCCGACACCUUCCUUUGGUUCGAGCACUCUGCUUGCCGAGACCCAAGUCCCGUAUUUCUAAUUAAUUAAUUAAUUAUUUUUUAAAUAUCUAAUUAUACUUAAUUAACAUAAUUUAAAUAAAAAAUAAAUUUUAAUGAUGGCA
This 280-nucleotide long non-coding RNA is filed under the name Elaeis guineensis (African oil palm). RNAcentral's name for it is "long non-coding RNA (EGUI_LNC053453)". Lineage: Eukaryota; Viridiplantae; Streptophyta; Magnoliopsida; Arecales; Arecaceae. The record is from RNAcentral.